GAUGAAGAACGUAGCAAAAUGCGAUAAGUAAUGUGAAUUGCAGAAUUCAGUGAAUCAUCGAAUCUUUGAACGCACAUUGCGCCCGCCAGUAUUCUGGCGGGCACGCCUGUCCGAGCGUCAUUUCAACCCUCAGGCCCCCCUUCGCGGGCGGGCCUGGUGUUGGGGCCCGGCCGCUACCCUGCGGCCGUCCCCUAAAUCCAGUGGCGGCCUCGCCGUGAUCCCUUGCGUAGUAAUGCACCUCGCACCGGAGAGCGCCGUGGCCACGCCGUAAAACCCCCAAUUUUCAAUGGUUGACCUCGGAUCAGGUGGGAAUACCCGCUGAACUUAAGCAUAUCAAUAAGCGGAGGA
Molecule: unclassified non-coding RNA, 348 nt
Filed under: soil metagenome
Description: partial contains 5.8S ribosomal RNA, internal transcribed spacer 2, and large subunit ribosomal RNA
Rfam family: 5.8S ribosomal RNA (bases 1-120)
Source: RNAcentral